Oryzias melastigma (Indian medaka) is the source of this 666-nucleotide long non-coding RNA. RefSeq lists it as uncharacterized. The transcript is spliced from 3 exons. The record is from RefSeq and is a predicted model, not a curated record. NCBI's taxonomy places the organism in Eukaryota, Metazoa, Chordata, Actinopteri, Beloniformes, Adrianichthyidae.
UACCAUGACAAUUCUAUUUUUUGAGGUUUAAAUGCAUUUUACUGUUCAUUCCUCACUCUAAAGAACCUUUAAAGCUGCAUUUUGAUUCGUUCAGGCAUUUAAGAGUUAAAAAAAAACCUGCAGCAGCCCCUAUCGUGCUGACGUCAGUACGAUGUGGACCGCCCCCCUCCAGGAAGAGUCUGCUUUGACAGCUCCGCCCCCAGACUAACACAACACUCAAUUUCUUCACAUGGCUAAAAACUUUAAUUUUAAAUGCAGAAUACCAUAUAUCUUCCAGUUAUGUCCUGUCUUCAAUAAAUUCCAGCUCAAAUAGGUGUUUGUUAAUUUGGGCGCGGCGCGCCUUUAAGACCUCACCACCCCCACCCCACCCCCGAUUUGCACAGCCAUUGCAGAAGCCGCGUGUGUUUGUGAAGCAGUCUGGGAUGGCCAGGCCUACUAAAGACAGAUAUAUGGAUGACGUUAUGAAGCGGACAGCAGAAACACGCAGCGGCAGGCGGAGCUUCAGGAAUCGAGCCGUUUUACUUCCGGCUGUAGCUCUGCUGGUGCACGCGACGGACCUUGAGGAUGCGGAUAAAAUCCUGCUUGUCCACGCGGAGGAAAUGGCAGUUGUCCUCCCUUAAGAUGAUGGUGGCGGCGCGAGGUGCGUCGUUCAGCAAAGCCAGCUGC